This 338-nucleotide long non-coding RNA is filed under the name Elaeis guineensis (African oil palm). RNAcentral's name for it is "long non-coding RNA (EGUI_LNC022788)". Lineage: Eukaryota; Viridiplantae; Streptophyta; Magnoliopsida; Arecales; Arecaceae. The record is from RNAcentral.
CACAAGAUAACUAUAAUUUUUAUUUCAAUAAAGAUAUAUGUUCAAUUUAUUUCGAAAAUAAAGUUGUUGCACGUGUUUUCUUGAUUGACGGUCUUUAUCAUUUGCAUACAGAUGCAAAUGUAAAUAUUAACGAGUAAAUUAUGAAUGCCAUAAGAUCUAAGAGACUUAGAGAUAAGAUUAGCCAAAAGUAUCUGUGGUACCUUAGGCUAUGCCAUAUUGGAGAGAACAGACUCAACAAAUUGGAGAAAGAUGGUCUUCUCGGAUCAUUGACUUUCGAGUCUUAUCCAGUCUGCAAAUCGUGUCUUCAAAAAAAUGAUCAAACUACCUUUUGUGGGACA